AUGCAGGACUCUCUUGUGCUCGGAGCUCACAUGCGUGGCUUUUGGGUACUUCUCUGUGAACCUGUCAGUGCUGGUGGGGAUGUCCAGCAUCAGGACUUCCGUGUGAGUUGAGGGCGAGGUCAGCAGUCAGGAAGGAGCGACAGAGGCUGAGAAGCACAGUGAGAGAUGAGACAGUUCAGUAUGAUAGCGCCUUGGAAUCAAAACCUGGGAUGGUAUUGAUGACUUUUCCCUCCAUGACAGCAGUUGUUCUAUGAAGGUCUGUCUCACUGGGAAAAAAGAAAAAAAAACCAACAUACUUUGCCUGGGCAAGAGUCCUAAAGAUGGAUUCCGAGCUGGCAGUAUUCUUCUUUUCAGAAAGCAACAGAUUUUAACUUGGCCUAGCAAUGAGUUGUCCAACAUAGGCUAAGGCAUGAGUUCCCACUGCUAAAAAAGCUGUCACUAGACUUAAUGAAGAUAAGAAGUAGUUAUGCAGCAAAAAGUGAUCCGCGUGCCUUGGCCCUCUUACUGCAUGUGAGAAUGUGUGCACCAGCCUCAGCCAUCUCAGGGAGAUCAGGAUGAAGCAUUCAAGCCACCAUCUUGGAGGCAGAGACUGGGCCCUUGCCAGACACCAAACCUGCUAGCACCUUGAUCUUGGA
Microcebus murinus (gray mouse lemur) is the source of this 635-nucleotide non-coding RNA. Lineage: Eukaryota; Metazoa; Chordata; Mammalia; Primates; Cheirogaleidae. The record is from RefSeq and is a predicted model, not a curated record.